GAUGAACGCUGGCGGCGUGCCUAAUACAUGCAAGUCGAGCGAAAGGUCUUGAAGCUUGCUUCUUUGAAGUUAGCGGUGGACGGGUGAGUAGCAAGUGGGUAAGCAACCUAUAAGACUGGGAUAACUUAGGGAGGCCGGAGCUUAUAACGGAUAAUAUAUUGAACCGCAAGGUUCAAAAGUGCAAGGUGAUCUUGUAGUAAGUGAUAGAUGGAUCCGCGUUGCAUUAGCUAGUUGGUAAGGUACCGGCUUACCAAGGCAACGAUGCAUAGCCGACUUGAGAGGUUGAUCGGCCACACUGGGACUGAGACACGGCCCAGACUCCUACGGGAGGCAGCAGUAGGGAAUCUUCCGCAAUGGGCGAAAGCCUGACGGAGCAACGCCGCGUGAGUGAUGAAGGUCUUCGGAUCGUAAAACUCUGUUAUUAGAGAAGAACAUAUGUGUAAGUAACUGUGCACAUCUUGACGGUACCUAAUCAGAAAGCCACGGCUAACUACGUG
Molecule: ribosomal RNA, 497 nt
Filed under: uncultured bacterium
Lineage: Bacteria
Description: partial 16S ribosomal RNA
Rfam family: Bacterial small subunit ribosomal RNA
Source: RNAcentral